This 245-nucleotide ribosomal RNA is filed under the name uncultured bacterium. RNAcentral describes it as "partial 16S ribosomal RNA". It matches the Rfam family "Bacterial small subunit ribosomal RNA", at positions 88 to 334 of the family's 1533-position model. The record is from RNAcentral.
CUGGCGACCGGCGCACGGGUGAGUAACACGUAUCCAACCUGCCGAUAACUCGGGGAUAGCCUUUCGAAAGAAAGAUUAAUACCCGAUGGCAUAAUUAGACCGCAUGGUUUGAUUAUUAAAGAAUUUCGGUUAUCGAUGGGGAUGCGCUCCAUUAGGCAGUUGGUGAGGUAACGGCUCACCAAACCUUCGAUGGAUAGGGGUUCUGAGAGGAAGGUCCCCCACAUUGGAACUGAGACACGGUCCAA